ACCUCAGUAACGGCGAGUGAAGCGGUAAUAGCUCAAAUUUGAAAUCUGGCCUCUUGGGGUCCGAGUUGUAAUUUGUAGAGGAUGUUUUGGGUACCGCCCCGGUCUAAAUUUCUUGGAACAGAAUGUCAAAGAGGGUGAGAAUCCCGUCUUGGAUCGGCGGUAGGGCCUGUGUAAAACUCCUUCGACGAGUCGAGUUGUUUGGGAAUGCAGCUCAAAAUGGGUGGUAAAUUUCAUCUAAAGCUAAAUAUUGGCCAGAGACCGAUAGCGCACAAGUAGAGUGAUCGAAAGAUGAAAAGCACUUUGAAAAGAGAGUUAAACAGUAUGUGAAAUUGUUGAAAGGGAAGCGCUUGCAACCAGACUUGAGCGCGGCGGUUCCCCCGGUCUUUUGGCCGGGCUACUCCGUCGUGUCCAGGCCAACAUCGGUUCUGAGGGUCGGUCAAAGGCCUUGGGAAUGUAUCUACCCACGGGUAGACUUAUAGACCAGGGUGUCAUGCGGCCUCUCGGGACCGAGGAACGCGCUUCGGCUCGGAUGUUGGCGUAAUGGUUGUCAGCGACCCGUCUUGAAACACGGACCAAGGAGUCUAACAUCUAUGCGAGUGUUUGGGUGUCAAACCCGGAACGCGAAAUGAAAGUGAACGGAGGUAGGAAGCUUCGGCUGCACUAUCGACCGAUCCUGAAGUUUACGGAUGGAUUUGAGUAAGAGCAUAGCUGUUGGGACCCGAAAGAUGGUGAACUAUGCCUGAAUAGGGUGAAGCCAGAGGAAACUCUGGUGGAGGCUCGCAGCGGUUCUGACGUGCAAAUCGAUCGUCAAAUUUGGGUAUAGGGGCGAAAGACUAAUCGAACCAUCUGGUAGCUGGUUCCUGCCGAAGUUUCCCUCAGGAUAGCAGUAACGUUUUCAGUUUUAUGAGGUAAAGCGAAUGAUUAGAGGCCUUGGGGUUGAAACAACCUUAACCUAUUCUCAAACUUUAAAUAUGUAAGAAGUCCUUGUUACUUAAUUGAACGUGGACAUUUGAAUGUACCGUUACUAGUGGGCCAUUUUUGGUAAGCAGAACUGGCGAUGCGGGAUGAACCGAACGUGAGGUUAAGGUGCCGGAAUGCACGCUCAUCAGACACCACAAAAGGUGUCAAUGCAUCUAGACAGCCGGACGGUGGCCAUGGAAGUCGGAAUCCGCUUAGGAGUGUGUAACAACUCACCGGCCGAAUGCAUUGGCCCUGAAAAUGGAUGGCGCUUAAGCGUGCUACCUAUACCUCGCCGUUAGGGUUGACAUGAUGCCCUAACGAGUAGGCAGGCGUGGAGGUCCGUGACGAA
RNAcentral lists this ribosomal RNA (1309 nucleotides) under Cladophialophora tengchongensis. RNAcentral's name for it is "partial large subunit ribosomal RNA". It matches the Rfam family "Eukaryotic large subunit ribosomal RNA", at positions 77 to 1407 of the family's 3401-position model. The record is from RNAcentral. Lineage: Eukaryota; Fungi; Ascomycota; Eurotiomycetes; Chaetothyriales; Herpotrichiellaceae.